This 592-nucleotide long non-coding RNA is filed under the name Cricetulus griseus (Chinese hamster). RNAcentral describes it as "lncRNA (ENSCGRG00015030333.1)". Lineage: Eukaryota; Metazoa; Chordata; Mammalia; Rodentia; Cricetidae. The record is from RNAcentral.
CCAGAGUAUAAAAAAAAAAAAAAAAAAGUAACAUUUCAUUAUUUUUGUACGUGUUUGGCUGUUUUGCUUGUGUGUCUAUCACUGCACACUACAUGUGUGCCUGGUGCUGGCAAAACUCAGGUGUUGGAGUCCCCGAAUCGGGAGUUAGAGUUACAGACGCUCAUUGGACGCUGGGAAUCAAACCCUGAUCCUCUAGAAAACCAGCCAGGACUCCUAACUAGCCACCCACCUCCCCGUAUUUUUUAAAUAAAGGAUGUUGAGUUCAGGAAGGUUGACAGACUUGUUUGCAUGAAGCUGGAUCGAGGUCUUGCCAGCACACAUUACAGUCUUUGAAAGGUGUGUCAUGGAAGGCCGCUCUGAGGUGACACUGAGCAGAAACUGAGCUGGUUAGAGGCACCACCACACUGAGGUCUGGGAGGAGAUCUCGACAGAUGAAGAGCAAGUCAUCAGAAGUCCAGGGAGCGAGCAGGAUGAGCAAGCUAUGAGGAGCAUGCCAGUAAGCAGUACUCUUCCAUGGCCUCUGCAUCAGCCUCCAGGUUCUUCCAUGGCCUCUGCAUCAGCCUCCAGGUUCUGGCCCUGCUUGAGUCCUGCC